This 118-nucleotide ribosomal RNA is filed under the name Azospirillum brasilense. RNAcentral's name for it is "partial 16S ribosomal RNA". It matches the Rfam family "Bacterial small subunit ribosomal RNA", at positions 390 to 525 of the family's 1533-position model. The record is from RNAcentral. RNAcentral also lists the same sequence under 1 other name. Lineage: Bacteria; Pseudomonadati; Pseudomonadota; Alphaproteobacteria; Rhodospirillales; Azospirillaceae.
AGCAAUGCCGCGUGAGUGAUGAAGGCCUUAGGGUUGUAAAGCUCUUUCGCACGCGACGAUGAUGACGGUAGCGUGAGAAGAAGCCCCGGCUAACUUCGUGCCAGCAGCCGCGGUAAUA